GCGCGGCCUCCGCCGAGUCCGGGGCGCCGCCGCGCGACCGGAGCCGGGGACCCACCGAAUCCCGGGGUGAAUCGGUCCGCAGCCCCUCGGGGGCCGCAUCCGUAGGGCAACCCUUCCGAAGCACCCGCCCGAACCCGACAGCUAACUCGGUAGGCGGAGACGGGAAGGAGU
RNAcentral lists this small RNA (171 nucleotides) under Streptomyces sp. RNAcentral's name for it is "c-di-AMP sequence". It matches the Rfam family "c-di-AMP riboswitch aptamer (ydaO/yuaA leader)". Rfam says of the family: This family represents a conserved RNA structure found upstream of the ydaO and yuaA genes in Bacillus subtilis and related genes in other bacteria. The ydaO/yuaA element is thought to act as a genetic "off" switch for the ydaO and yuaA genes in its native state. The record is from RNAcentral. Lineage: Bacteria; Bacillati; Actinomycetota; Actinomycetes; Kitasatosporales; Streptomycetaceae.